UCAGAGUUUAAAUAAUGAACAUAGCAAUACCACCAAAGAAACAUUCAUUAAAUAUCAAUAUAAAAUAAAGUGGAAGAAAAAGAGAAAAACAGCAAGCUGCUGAUUGCAGUGUUUGCAACCGAGACUCUGUUCUGCAAACCCUGGGGGAUCAGCGUGGAUUGAGCUAUUACUAGAGGUUGGGGUUAAACACGGUAGGCUAUAGACUUUCUGGGGGAGAAACCAGUCAAUUUCUAUUCUGAAAACCUGGCACUGCCUAAGAAAAUCCAAACCCUUCAAACAGAAGCUUCGCAAGAGUGUAGUUAAUGGCAUAAAAGAGUGCUCAGAAACUCACCCACAGAGACUUUCUGAUAGCUGAUGCCAGGAACAGCAAAAAGCAGAAUGUCCAGUUAGGGAUAGUUAACCAAGCCCCUCUCAAUUCUUCUUCUUGAGGCUAUCCUCUCCUCACUGGUCCCCAUUUUAUAAUCAUGCUCAAGGAGCCUAGGCUUCUCUUCUUCUCUUACAGCAUGUUUAAUAUCACUACUUUAUCCAUUCUGUACUGUUGCAGGCUGAAGGUGACAUUACACUUAGAGGGAUCCACAGAUUCAAGAGGCUGCUUGGGGAGGGCAGCACAGUGAAGUACAAGGACUUUGACAUCAGAGAGGCCUGGAUUCAAGUCCCAAUUUCUGUGUGUGGUAACCAGUCUGCAAGACAGCCUGUGAUGGUUCCUGCCUCCUCGUAUUCAUGUCCUUCUUAGUUCCCUUGCGCAUUGAAUCAGGGCUGGCUCUGGGUGACCAAUAGAAUGUGGAGGAAGUGAUGGGGUGUGAAUUCCGAGGCUAGGUCACAAAAGGCAUUGUAUCUUCCACCUCUUAGAUCUCUCUCUCUGCGGAAGCCAGCCACCGCUCUCCAAGGACUCUCGAGCAGCUCCAUCUACAGAUUCACAUGGAGAAGAAUUAAGGGUUCCUGCCAAUCACCAGCACCACUUUGCCAGCCUUGUAAGUGGGCCACCUUGGAAUUGGAGCCUCCAGUUCCUACUGACAUCUGACUGCAACAUCAUGAGAGACCCUGAGUUUGAACCACCCAGCUGAGCUGCUUCUGAGCUAACCCACUGAAACCGUGAAAGUACCUGAAUGAAACAACACCCAGUAGCCACUAGCACACCUAGCUCCCAGAUCUGUUUUUGAUGCCAUUCUUCAGUAAAAGGAAGCAAGGCUGCUUGGAGAAAUUGCUAUCAAGGACUGGGGUAGAAAAUAUACAAGAUGAAAUUGGAGCAUCUUGUAGUGCUUGAAAACAGUUGGCAUCUGUGUGAAGAUGUGAAUGGAGGAGGCAGAGUAGGCAGUGAGUGCCGCAGCCACAGCUUGUGUUCUCUGCAGCCCUGGCACAGAAGAUAGGAACACUCAUGGGGGAUGCGGCCACUGUGAUGUCUUCCCACACAAGAAGUGCCAAGUGCUUUUCUCAUGCUUUUCUGGAUUGUCCCAUGGUGGACGAGUCAGCAGGAGUGAGAUGGAGCAGCACAGUAGAGGGGCCAGGAUAUCGUUGUACAUAUUCUCAGCUAAGUGAGCACCAAUAGAGGAGAGGGAGAGUCUCAUGGAAGUUCCUUCUAAGCCUUUGGCUCUUUUUACCUUCAACAAGGUGUGCCACCUCUUUGAUCCAGCAAGUGGGAAGAACAGUCCCGGCCUCUUUGCACACAAGACCGUGAUACCAAUGCACCAUCACAGGCCCCACAGGGGAGCUGUCCGCUUCCCCACACAGCUGCUAGGGGCUCUUUUGCAUGUUCCCAACCUUUCCUGCCUUUAUCUGAUAUUCGUUCCUUAGAUCCUGGGAUGAGGAGGUGGACCAGCAGAAGGUGGGCUUGUGAAGGCAGCCCGGGGUCCAAAUCCUCCUGGCUCUUCAGCUUAGCGGGUUAGUUAACAUUCAGAAGCCUUCAUCUCCCAUCUGCAAAAUGGGCAUGUCCAACUCAGAAGCUGCCUUGAAGAAAGGGUCUACCCAGCAUGGUGCGUGGAGCCUAAGCAGUCAGUACUUCAGGACUUCACCCGGCCCCUUUCCAAUAACUGCUGCUGUCGCCCUCACAGGAUGUCACCUUCAGCGUCUGAAAGCUGGGUUUGAUGCGUCUGGAAAGGCGUCCCUGACAGGCGUCGUUGCCAGGAGCCCCUAGUGCCACCAGCAGCCAGCAGGGGAGGGCGUCCUCUGCCCGCUCACUUCUGACCCUUCUCUCGUUGCACCCGGAACAUGGUGCAGCUGGGAGCAGCCUGGGCUGCGCGGAAGGCUCAGAUUUGGGGACGGCCCUUGCCAGUGACUGUGAGCUGGGGUGUCUUGGAAACUCCCAGUCUCAGCUUCUCCAUUUAUAAGAUGAGAAUGAUCAUACCAGACUCAGGCAAGGUUGUUUGUGCAUUAGUGAAAUCAGACGUAUUAAAUAAAGUACCACAUUGAUCGUGGAGUUGUUGAAUAACCAAGAACACGCCUAUCUGUCUCCAAAAAAUAAAUGUUGAAAAUGAUGAGGGCGUGGCUCUACGUUGGGAAGGGAAAUAGGGUGCUUGGAUGAGAGAAUCCUGAGGCAUGGGACAGUGGAGGGAUCCAGGAUAGUUCCAUAAGAAAAUGUGCUUGCACUAUCGUUUCUUUGCAGAGGCUCUUGUGUGCUGGGAGGCUGGCUGGGAUGGGGAGUUGGUGGCAGAGAAUAGUGUCUGUUUUCUUCCUGGUAGCUGGAGAGCUCUGCGACAGAGGACUGAGGUCAUUAGGAACAAGCGGGCAGGUAGGGACAGGCGUUGGAGUGGACUAGCCCUGGUUCCCCUGAAGCUCUCUGGGGUGGAGGUGAAGGAGCUUCUAGGGCAAAGUUUGCCAGUUAAGGAGGAGACACUGUUUGGGCUGCUCCCCGAAAUGGAGAACUUUUGUGUGUGCCUGGAGUGUUUCUAUUUGAGAAAAACUAUUUGAGAGGUGGGAAGGUGAAUUAUUUACCAGUAAGUUUAUCCUUCUCUCCUCAGAUUCUGCAGAACUUGCAGACCCAUAAACAAAUUAGAAAUUGCUUUUCUCCUCUUGCUUAACCUAAAUUUCUUUGUGGAAGCUGAAGGAAAAUAUGAGUAAUUUUCUAACAUAUUCAGUUACAGAGACAGCAAAGAGAAAUAUUCAAGAAAAAAAAAAAACAAACCCUGAGGUGCUACUGACUUCGUGUAUGUCUUAGCUGUAGACAGAAUUGGGAUUUCCUAAUAUGGGUUUGUUCCAGUACAGCCCCUCAGAAAGAUUUUCAUCAGCAAAACACACAUUGGAGGACCAGCUGCUGUGCAGUUGUCUCUUUUAAACCAUUUUCUCACUUCAUUGCUAAUUUUCCCAGCACCUUUCUUCUAACAGUUCUACAUUUUUGAUCUGCAAACAACCUGAGAUUAUUUCUUUCCCUCUUGGUAAAUAAAAGAAAUUUAAAGUAGAUUCUAGAAUGGGUUAGACUGUUUUAUUCCAGAUCCCUCAAAAAGAAGGGAUAAAUACUUCUUUAAAAGAAUCCCUUUAAAAGAAGGGAUAAAGUUUAAGCCAUAAAUACAAUAAAUGGUGAACUGCCUGGUUAACUGAGGGCUGAUUCCCGGAGACGCAACCAGGGGGAGCUUCCUGAGCAAGGUAGCUACUCCCUGCCAAGGUAACCACAGCUUUCUAACAAUAAGUAAAAUGUUUCUACUCAUAUCAUAGGGACCCUACAACAACAUGGCCCUUUUCUCUCUGCCAUGCAAAAAAGCAUCAAGAAAGUAAGAAGGGGCAUUUUUGAGAACAAACUAGAAAUCUUAGCAUCAUGUCUUCUCUCUAAUUAUGUUGGAAACAGGCUUUGAAAAAGAAAAAAACUGAGGAGAAGAUCACUAAAUAGAAUUCAAUAAAAAUGGCUUUUGAUAUUCUGUAGCUUGAAAGCAUUUGUAUUGGGUUUAUGUUCUCAUGGUUUUUGUUUCAAAGAGUUUAAGGUAAAUUUGAAUGUCCCAUUCCUCUGAGAACUCAGAGAAAGCCAGGUUGAUUAAGAAGUAAUUAAGAGGCUGGG
RNAcentral lists this long non-coding RNA (3982 nucleotides) under Homo sapiens (human). RNAcentral's name for it is "HSALNT0263814". The record is from RNAcentral. Lineage: Eukaryota; Metazoa; Chordata; Mammalia; Primates; Hominidae.